CAUUCCGUGUCUCAACUUUGAUCCAGCCGACGGCCAACGUCUGUAAAUCUCACCGGCCUGCGCCUCUUCAUCCAUGAUUUGUUGCCCCGAACCGAAACGUGGUUUCUCCACAAGCUUUCCUCCCUGUGGCUCUUCUUUAGCCGAACGCAAAUACAAUUCCUCUUUACUCCAACUGAUAGGAUCGGUUUCUCGGUAAACGUCUUCAGACUUUGUUUCACUUUUUCCCCUGACGGACGUCACAUGUUCCUUAUCGUGGGACACGCAUCAUCCGCUACGCUCGGUGUCAUCGGUCCGUCGAAUGAAUCCGCGUGUAAUAUCAAAGUCUCUAGAACACGUGUUCCACUUAAUAGAACGCCGUUAAGCCAGAGCUCGAUCAUGGCAUUAAACGCUGAUGCGUCUAUCGAGAUAAAGAUUUGUAUUUCUCAGAACAUCGAUGCUUCCUAGAUGUAAAAAUCAACUGGAUCAUUCUGCAGACAGUGAAUAUAUCAUGUAAAACAGUUGAUAAAUGUUUUUGUGGUCGUAAAGUAUUUUACUCUUAAUAAUGUGACGAUU
This is a long non-coding RNA of Ceratina calcarata, 552 nucleotides long. RefSeq lists it as uncharacterized. NCBI's taxonomy places the organism in Eukaryota, Metazoa, Arthropoda, Insecta, Hymenoptera, Apidae. The transcript is spliced from 3 exons. The record is from RefSeq and is a predicted model, not a curated record.